GCUUGUCUCAAAGAUUAAGCCAUGCAUGUCUCAGCAUAAGCUUCAACACGGUGAAACUGCAAAUGGCUCAUUAAAGCAGUUACAAUUUAUUUGAUGGUCACUGUUACAUGGAUAACUGUGGUAAUUCUAGAGCUAAUACAUGCAUCAAAACCUGACUCUUGGGAAGGGUUGUGUUUAUUAGAUACAAAACCAAUUCAGGUUCUUCCUGAUUCCUCUGGUGAUUCAUAAUAACUGUUCGAAGCGCACGGCCUCGCGCCGGCGCUAGUUCAUUCAAAUUUCUGCCCUAUCAGCUUUCGACGGUAGUGUAGUGGACUACCGUGGCGCUAACGGGUGACGGAGAAUUAGGGUUCGGUUCCGGAGAGGGAGCCUGAGAAACGGCUACCACAUCCAAGGAAGGCAGCAGG
Molecule: ribosomal RNA, 404 nt
Filed under: uncultured fungus
Lineage: Eukaryota; Fungi
Description: partial small subunit ribosomal RNA
Rfam family: Eukaryotic small subunit ribosomal RNA
Source: RNAcentral